CAAGUCUACAAUGAGGGUCUAGAAUGUAGAAUCUGGUUGCAUCUUUGGGGACUUCAGGGAAAGGACCCAGGCCUCCAUGGACUACCUGGGUCUACUUUGCAGGACAGGCUGCUGGCACUCAGGCGGUGGCAGGAAAAACUGAAGGCCAUUGUUCCCUCUGCUGACCCAGAACUGCUGGCUGUGGAAACGUAUCGGGGCCCCGCCCCUUGGCCUUGCCGGCCUCCGUUGUUGGGAAGGAUGAGAGGAAGGGGAAGGGGAACGGUAAGUGACCACACUUCCUGGCACCAGGACACCCUGGUCGGCCAGCCACACAACAGCAUCUUGCUGGAAAUAGGCCCCGGGCAGCACUGGUCCCAGGAUCCCCUCCAAUGCCAACAUCCUGUCCUGCUCAAGGCCCCUCUGUAAAAGCUGCGUUUGCCCCCGACUUCCUGUAUGCUUCAAAUCGCCUCAAAUGCGGCGUAGAUAGUUGUUACACUGCCUCACUUAGAAAACAAUGACGAGGAAAAAAAAAAAGUCUGCACAUGUUGGACAUAGCUGCAAUUUUUCUGGAAUAUUCUGGAGCCACAGUUGGUUAAAUCUGCCGAUGUGGAACCCAGAUACAAAGGGCCAACCUGUUUGCAUCUCCAGAGAGAGAUCACUCUUGGUUCUCUCAGAAGUCCGGGCUGCCAGCGUCUGCUCUCCCACGACCUGUGGAGGACUCUGAGGAAGAAGCACGCUUCCCCAGGUGACCCUCGCUCAUUGGAAAAUGGACAUGACCAGGGGACCCAGCGUGCUGCCUUGGACAUGCUGCAGGGCUUGCUUUGCACUGGCUGGUGGCAGAGUAUUUACCUUUGCUUUGCUUUACCCUGCCCAGCGUCCGGCCUGGCCUCCCUGCCCUCAAUUCUCAAAGUAAUUAUUUUCCAAAACAUAAACCAGAUCCGGCUGCUUGGCUCCUUACACCCUGUGAUGGUUUCCCAUGUCAUCUGACCUUAAUCCCAAUCCUCCAGACCCUUGGAGACCUGAGUUUCACCCUGUUUUCUGGUGAGUCCCCGGCUUUCUCUUGUUCCUUCAAUGCCCCCAGCCUCCAGACCUUGCACCUGCUGCUCUCAGGCCGGAACCUGCUCCCUGCCUCCAGAGCUUCCUGCGCUACGGGCCUCCAAUUCAGCUCAGAUGUCACCGUCCGCGAGGCUUUUGUGCAGACCUGUCUGAAGCCAGGCAUCCCCAGGCCCUCCAGCCACCGCCCUCAGAUCUCUGGUCCUCAGCUUCACUACGGCUAACUUGUACCUGCUGGUCUGUGAUCCGAGUCCCUCCCAAAGGGAGGGCGACCGCAUCGGUCUCGCUGUCUGUUAGGUCCCUAGCAUCAA
Molecule: long non-coding RNA, 1343 nt
Organism: Fukomys damarensis (Damara mole-rat)
Lineage: Eukaryota; Metazoa; Chordata; Mammalia; Rodentia; Bathyergidae
Exons: 3
Source: RefSeq, a predicted model, not a curated record